CUUGCUCUCUGGGUGGCGAGUGGCGGACGGGUGAGGAAUACAUCGGAAUCUACUUUUUCGUGGGGGAUAACGUAGGGAAACUUACGCUAAUACCGCAUACGACCUACGGGUGAAAGCAGGGGAUCUUCGGACCUUGCGCGAUUGAAUGAGCCGAUGUCGGAUUAGCUAGUUGGCGGGGUAAAGGCCCACCAAGGCGACGAUCCGUAGCUGGUCUGAGAGGAUGAUCAGCCACACUGGAACUGAGACACGGUCCAGACUCCUACGGGAGGCAGCAGUGGGGAAUAUUGGACAAUGGGCGCAAGCCUGAUCCAGCCAUACCGCGUGGGUGAAGAAGGCCUUCGGGUUGUAAAGCCCUUUUGUUGGGAAAGAAAUCCAGCUGGCUAAUACCCGGUUGGGAUGACGGUACCCAAAGAAUAAGCACCGGCUAACUUCGUGCCAGCAGCCGCGGUAAUACGAAGGGUGCAAGCGUUACUCGGAAUUACUGGGCGUAAAGCGUGCGUAGGUGGUCGUUUAAGUCCGUUGUGAAAGCCCUGGGCUCACCUGGGAACUGCAGUGGAUACUGGGCGACUAGAGUGUGGUAGAGGGUAGCGGAAUUCCUGGUGUACAGUGAAAUGCGUAGAGAUCAGGAGGAACAUCCAUGGCGAAGGCAGCUACCUGGACCACACUGACACUGAGG
Molecule: ribosomal RNA, 676 nt
Filed under: Stenotrophomonas maltophilia
Lineage: Bacteria; Pseudomonadati; Pseudomonadota; Gammaproteobacteria; Lysobacterales; Lysobacteraceae
Description: bacterial SSU rRNA
Rfam family: Bacterial small subunit ribosomal RNA
Source: RNAcentral